UACAGAGGUCUCAACCGUUGUUCGGAUUCAUUGGGCGUAAAGGGUGCGUAGGCGGUCGUGCAAGUCGGAUGUGAAAUCUCAGGGCUCAACCCUGAAACUGCAUUCGAUACUGCGCGGCUAGAGUGCUGGAGGGGAGACUGGAAUUUACGGUGUAGCAGUGAAAUGCGUAGAUAUCGUAAGGAAGGCCGGUGGCGAAAGCGAGCCUCUGGACAGUUACUGACGCUGAUGCACGAAGGCCAGGGGAGCAAACGGG
RNAcentral lists this ribosomal RNA (253 nucleotides) under uncultured bacterium. RNAcentral's name for it is "partial 16S ribosomal RNA". It matches the Rfam family "Bacterial small subunit ribosomal RNA", at positions 524 to 776 of the family's 1533-position model. The record is from RNAcentral.